Molecule: ribosomal RNA, 390 nt
Filed under: uncultured marine eukaryote
Lineage: Eukaryota
Description: bacterial SSU rRNA
Rfam family: Eukaryotic small subunit ribosomal RNA
Source: RNAcentral
UUAAAAAGCUCGUAGUCGAAUGUAGAUUGUACAGGUGCGCGGACGUUUAGGUGUAUAACUUAUAUUGUCUGUACGCCACAAUCACCCUUAUGUAGUACGGUUGUUUUGGUUUCCAGAACAAAUUUACCGACUACAUACAUUACUGUGAACAAAAUAGAGUGUUCAUGGCAGGCCAAUUAGGCUUGAAUACCUCAGCAUGGAAUAAUAGAAUAGGACUUCUGGUUCUAUUUUGUUGGUUUUUGGAGCCGAAGUAAUGAUUAAUAGGGAUAGUUGGGGGCACUCGUACUCCGUUGUCAGAGGUGAAAUUCUUGGAUUGACGGAAGACGAACAACUGCGAAAGCAUCUGCCAAGGAUGUUUUCAUUGAUCAAGAACGAAAGUUAGGGGAUCGA